UACGUAGGGGGCUAGCGUUGUUCGGAAUCAUUGGGCGUAAAGCGCACGUAGGCGGCUUGUUAAGUCGGGGGUGAAAUCCUGAGGCUCAACCUCAGAACUGCCUUCGAUACUGGCAAUCUCGAGUCCGGAAGAGGUUGGUGGAACAGCUAGUGUAGAGGUGAAAUUCGUAGAUAUUCGCAAGAACACCAGUGGCGAAGGCGGCUCACUGGCCCGGUACUGACGCUGAGGUGCGAAAGCGUGGGGAGCAAACGGG
This 253-nucleotide ribosomal RNA is filed under the name uncultured bacterium. RNAcentral describes it as "partial 16S ribosomal RNA". It matches the Rfam family "Bacterial small subunit ribosomal RNA", at positions 524 to 776 of the family's 1533-position model. The record is from RNAcentral.